Long non-coding RNA from Clupea harengus (Atlantic herring), 1395 nucleotides. The record is from Ensembl. Lineage: Eukaryota; Metazoa; Chordata; Actinopteri; Clupeiformes; Clupeidae.
UGUGUGUGUGUGUGUGUGUGUGUGUGAGAAUAAAAUGAAGGUGUGUGAGAGUCAAUCAGAGUAUGUAUAUGUGUGCUUUGAGCAUCUAAGCAUGUCUAUGCAUCUUGCACGUAGGGAGUGUCUGUUUGAGGGGAACUGGCCGUUUGUUUGUCUGAUAGAUCGGGUUUGGCGGCGCCCUUGCUGUGCAUGUCAGAUGGUAAGGGUGUGUGUGUGUGUGUGUGUGUGUGUGUGUGUGUGUGUGUGUGUGUGUGUGUGUGUGUGUGUGUGUCACAUCACAAAGGUGUAUGUGUGUUGGACUGUGGAGUGCAGGUGGCAGUGAAGGUCACUGUUUGGAGCAGAGAUCGGUCUGGGCUGGUGAUGCAUCCUGAUGGAAAGAGCCUUGGAGGAGGACCAGUGGCCCAAUCAGGCAUUAGGUGUGAGAGAGAGAGGAUGAAUAACAUGUGGGAGUCUUUCUGGGUGUCACCUCCAUGCCAGAGGACAGGUAGUACUUGUAUACUAGAGAGGCGACGGAAAAACCAACUCAUUUUCCUGGGGAUGAGGAUCAGAGAGCGAAGAAGGCGAAGGAAGCUGUGCUCGAGAGCGAACAGCCGAGGCUUGCGUGACAACCCCCCACGUAUACAAAGAAAUCCCACUCAAGCUCCUCUACUUCUUUCUCUCAAGCAAGACCCCCCAUCUCCCCACCCCACCAACAGCCUCAAGGGCUGAGGAAGAUCAUACCUCUCCACGUCCCCAUGGACGGGGCCCGAGGUCCCACGGGUCCCCGAGAAUAGUGAGCCGUGCCUGGGUCUAUCAGCUCGAUCAAAGGGGCCUGGUGCUGGAGAUUACCUUGCGAAUGGGUCCUCAUGACGGGGGUCUCAGUUAGUCGCAGAUGGCCCAGGCCCUCAUGGAGAGGCUGGGAUUGGAUGGGAAGGGAUGGGAUGAGAAGACGACCCCCAGGCACCUCAGGAGCGGCACCAUUGGCUAGGAAAGGGGUAGGCCUAUUAGGCGGAAAUGGACGAGUUAGCAUGUCUUGGGACGUGUGCCUUCUUGAAGAUUGUCUUUCUAAAAUGGAGCUGGCCCUGCUCCGCACCGGCUCCUCCUGGGAAAUGGUCAUAGAUGUGCUGCCCAUCUGGCCGGGUUUAAGACUCCUCCUUGAGCACCGAAACAGGGUCUUUGAGAUGCAGCCUCAAAAACAAUGGUCUAAAAAAAAUGUGUUUGGCUCCAGCGUCCUUUUGAAUUACGGACUGCACUGUUGUUUGGUGUGGCUUCAAUGAGUAGGAAGAAUUUAUUGCCUUGGCUAGGUGUUGCGUGUUAUUGCUGACGAACCGCAUUUGAAAAUCCCUUUGCUCUGCAUUUCAAUUACGGUUAAUUCCUGUCAUGCUCUUUGCACUCAGCCCCCAUACUUUCUGUGCAAAC